AGCUCGGUGGUGCAGUGGAUAGCAUGUGGGGCUCAUAACCCCAAGGUCGACGGAUCGAAACCGUCCUGAGCUA
Molecule: transfer RNA, 73 nt
Filed under: Malassezia sympodialis ATCC 42132
Lineage: Eukaryota; Fungi; Basidiomycota; Malasseziomycetes; Malasseziales; Malasseziaceae
Description: tRNA-iMet (CAT) (tRNA-iMet-CAT-1-1)
Rfam family: tRNA
About the family: Transfer RNA (tRNA) molecules are approximately 80 nucleotides in length. Their secondary structure includes four short double-helical elements and three loops (D, anti-codon, and T loops).
Source: RNAcentral